AUGCAAAGACAAGUCAUAUAAGCCGAUAACACUUCGCGGACUUUAUAUCGGUAUGAAUCAGGUGGAAAUCGCAAACAUGCAAAACGAAAGCCGACUUGUCAUCGCAUAACCUUAGUCCGAAAGUAAACCUAGGUCUUGCCCUAAACCCAGUCUUACUGGAUCCUGACAUCUCAAAGGCAUAAUAUCGACAUCCCGAUAUGAGAUCCCUAAACUUUUCUUUUCACUUAAGUCUAUACGUUUUCACGAGUCCUCGCAGAAAACAAAGUUGCGCGCUUAACAGACUAUGGAUACGGUGAUCAUCCGGGGGCAAGGAACGAGACGACAACUCACU
Molecule: long non-coding RNA, 331 nt
Filed under: Brassica napus (rape)
Lineage: Eukaryota; Viridiplantae; Streptophyta; Magnoliopsida; Brassicales; Brassicaceae
Description: long non-coding RNA (BNAP_LNC009648)
Source: RNAcentral